Molecule: long non-coding RNA, 867 nt
Organism: Trifolium pratense (red clover)
Lineage: Eukaryota; Viridiplantae; Streptophyta; Magnoliopsida; Fabales; Fabaceae
Exons: 2
Source: RefSeq, a predicted model, not a curated record
UGAUUUGAAUUUAUAGUCACUCAAAAUGCUUUGACCAACAAAACAGCACAUACAAAUGUGUGAAUAGUAUUUGUGGCAUGAACAAUUCGGGUAACAAGAUUCAAUCUUUAGUCAGUUAUCGACACCGCCGCAAUCUGAGAUACGAGCUUUCACCGGAGUCUUUUUCUAACUUUCUUUCAUUUCAGUUUUGGCGACACAAAUCUCACUGGAUUGCCACCAAAUGAGUGGCCGCAUCACUGCUAAGCCACCGCACUUCAACUCUCAAGGAGCAGUAUUGGAGUUGGAACGAUCGCCUGAGGAUUGAAGACUUCUAGUCCAACAGUUCCCCAUCAAGUUCUUUACUUCUGCUCUUUCCUUGAACAGUGAUAUUGCUAGCAGAAAACUAGAGGGAUGAAAGCAAGAGAGAAAUGUUGAAAGGCCUACCUGAAGUGAUUAUAUAGUAUAUUAUGACAAUGAUAGUGAAAAGUGUGCCUACAAGGAAAAAACCACUUGUCUUGUACGUGUCCAAUGAAUGACAAAGUGAGAACAAAAAAUGGUACUUGUCCGUGCUGGUGACAAAAGAAGCUUCCUAGAAUAUUCCAAGUAAAUUCAAGGGAUCAUUCACUUUUUGGUAGUCGCCAAUAUCAUUUCCAAUUCUCUAUUUGAUUAGUAAACAACACUGUUAUAUUAUGUGAAUGUUUUGGAUUCAUGGUUAGUUUUGCAAAAUUAGGAUGAACUACUGUAAUUUUGUAAAAGCUACUAUUUGGAGUUUUAACAAGGAUAACUUUUACAAAAUCACUGUGAUAUAAUUUCGUAAAACUCAAUUAUAUGGUAUCAAACAAAGACAUGUUAAAAUAAAUUAAUUAUUAAUCAAGAUAUUGAACUCAA